Long non-coding RNA from Dreissena polymorpha, 4896 nucleotides. RefSeq lists it as uncharacterized. The transcript has 3 exons. Lineage: Eukaryota; Metazoa; Mollusca; Bivalvia; Myida; Dreissenidae. The record is from RefSeq and is a predicted model, not a curated record.
UUGUACUUCACAAACAGCUCAAAUAGGACACCAGAAUGUGCAACUAAUUAUGCGCCUCUCAUGGAAUACCAACGAAACAAAAUUUCUACAAUGUCACAGAGAUCAAACUCUCAUAGGACAGUGCUCGGCACUCACUUGGGUUCAUUGUGGACUAGAGCCAACAUACGUGGGCGUGUACACCAUAUCCUCAAAUACUGAUUUGACUACUACAACCAUAACCUUAAUAACUUAUAUGGAGGACCUUUCUGGCAAUUACAGCUGCUCGAAGACAAAUAACGCAGAAAAACAAACUGUAUGCUUAACAACAGAAAGAACAUCAAAACCGUUGACAGGUGCGAGGAACAAUGUUGGUAUUGUCGCUGGUGUCAUAGUUGCAGUUAGCGUCCCAGUGUUAAUUACAAUAAUAAUGUGUAUAAAAUACCCUGCAAAAUGCCCAAAAAGGCGAUCCGUCCCUAGCGUCUAAUUAUCGCCCGAUAUCACUGUUAAAUACUACUGUCAAAGAUGGUCUUUGGGAGGAUAUUACAUUCACACAUUUUUUAAUUUUCUUUGUGUGAAUGCAUUCUUUUCACCCACUCAAUCUGGUUUCUUGCCUGGUGACUCCACUGUCAAUCAGCUUACAUAUAUCUAUGAUACAUUUUGCAGAGCCCUAGACAAUGGCCUUGCGGUCAGAGUUGUAUUAUUCGAUAUAAGUAAAGCUUUUGAUAACGUAUGAAAAAAUGUGUAUUAUGCACAAACAUAAACUUUAUCAAUGAACAAAAUGAACUCGAUAAAUGUCCCAAACUACUUACAGUCUCUUUUGCCUACAACAGUUGGGUCAAAUAACAAUUUCUCAUUAAGAAAUUCUUCACAUCUUCAAACAAUUCAAGCGCGAACGUCACUUUAUUCACUUCGUUUCUUCCGUCCACUGUAUCUGAAUGGGUGAUGGUCGUCAAAAACGCUGAAUCGAUCCAUUCCUUCAAAAGGCUCAUUAACACAUAUCGACCGAUUUCAAAUCACCUAUUUUCAAACGGCGAAAAUGCUCUCAAAUGUUACACACGCGCCUAAGAUUUAAGUGUACUGCUUUAAUUUAACAUAUUUUCAGACGCAAUAUUAUUACAUCCCCGUUAUGUCAAUGCGGACGUCUUGAAACGACGUCACAUUACUUUCGCGAAAGCACUCAGUAUGCACAUAUUCGCGGCGAACUUUUUAACUCAAUAUCAGUAUAUUCUGUUUCCUGCAUUGGAACUAUUCUAUAUGGAAACAACACUCUCUCCCAAGAACUCUGCCAGUCUCUUCCCUUCACCUUUCAAAUGUUAACCUAUAACAUAUUUGUUUUCUUUUUAACAAAUGUAAUUAUAUACUCGGAAUUUCUCUUGUUUUGUGCAUGCUAAUAUUAUUGUGUAGUCAUAAAAAACAAACUAUGUUCGUCUAACAACAUGUAAUUGUAUUUGUAUAGGGAGAAGAACUAUAUAAGACAUGGUCCUUCGUUCCCAUUCCUUUCAAACAUGUUAACUGUAUACAUGUUGUAUGUAAUUCAAUGUAAAACAAUGUGUAUUGUCUGAAACAAAUUUGUUUAAACUUACCAAAAUUCAUAUCUUAUAACAAAUUAGAAGGUGUAUAUCACUUUUUCCUUUAAAGCCUACUAUACAGCGACUUAUGUAAAAAUACUACUAUUGUUAUAUUAUAUACUAUUAUUAGUGCUAACGGACACUACUUUACAUUAACAUUAACUUUUAAGAUACUCACAAAACGUUAGAGCCUAUGUUAUACUGAAAUUCAAUAUCUAUUAUCAGCCAUUCUUAGCUCAGUUGAAAGCACGUGCCACAUUUUAAUCUACCGACUUACAAAAUUAAAUGAUGCAUAAAGACAAAACAGUUUCACCUGAAAAUAUUUAUAAUAAAUAACACGAAAAUUUAAACUUAUUGUAAAUAUAAGUAUUUGGAAAUUAUACAGUUGAUAAGAAACAAUUUCGUACUUCUAUUUAUCAUGACUAUAUGUUACAUACUAUGUAAAUUAAUAUAUAUUUCAUUUAAUCUUCUAUAUGUACAUAUAUAUUUAACUAAUAUUAAAAUAACUAUUUUUAUGGACAUCACCUAACCGUUUAUAAUUAUAUUGGAUAUUUGUAAUAUAUUUUGAAAAUACUUUGUUUAUAUCACAGUCUGAUUAUUAUAAUGUUAUAACAUGUAUACACAGUUCUCUUUAUUAUGAAUAUAUGGUGUAUACUUUAUUUUCCUCCCGUGUUAUGAUCUUAUUUUUCGUUUCCAAAUUAUAUAAACUAACCAUUUAUGAUCCUUACUAUACUCAUAGCAUACCAACAUGCCAUUGUUGGUACUGCAUAAAGCGAACGUUUUGAUUUUGUGUUAGGUUGUCAUGCAAAUAGGAACGAACCACGCUUAGAAAGAAUAUCUGAUUCACUAUCGAUAACAUGAGGUAAAAACGCCACACAAACAUUAUGGUUAAACGAUUAAGUAAGUAAAUAACGUUAUGAGGUUUAGUCUAUACACUACUUACUUAUUAGUAAAAUGUGUACUUAAACACCAACAUAGACUUGUAUAUAUUGUUCUGCGAACUUUGUUUCGAAACUUUGUCAUAAACAUAAACCUACGCAUUGUGUGAAAUUAUUGUAUUAUAUAAAUAUAUACUAUGUAAAUAUUUUUUAAAUAUUUUAAAUAUGUGCUGUUGUUGUUAAUUCAAAGCUAUGAAGAUCGACCAUAUUGUAAACAGACAUAAUACAUUUAUGACAUAUUAUAUAUUCACUUGACCUUGUAAAUUCCGAAUAAUGUUGUACCGUACAGAUUUAUACCGUCAAUAUAUGUGAUAUAUCAAAUGCCUCAGUAACCAUCGUCGGUUAUAUUAUUUAUAUGGUGUGUGUACAUAAGAAUCACCAAUAUAUUGCCUUUUUCGUGAAUGAAUAAAUAAAUUAUAUCAACUAACAACGUAUGAGCGUAACUAUACUCAUAGCAUAACAUAGCAUAACAACAUGCCAUGGUUGGUACUGAAUUAACCGAACGUUUUGAUUUUGUGUGAGGUUGUCAUUCGAAAAGGUACGAACCACGCUUAGAAAGAUCAUACUUACUAUUAUUAAAUCAAAUUAAUUGCAACUAAAUCUCUAUUUCGGUAACUUAUAUCUUAAAAUUCACAAAUAUCUGCAUUCACUAUCGAUCACAUGAGGUAAAAACGCCGCACAAACAUAAUGGUUUAACGAUUAAGCAAGUUAAGGUUCAUGGGGGGGAUAAAAUUCAUUAAAAAUUCGCUUUGGUUUUUCUUCAUUCAAUGUGGUACAAUAUGGUCAAACGAUAUAUCAUUUUAAAGCUAAAGACGGAUAGAAUAACAUAAACACAUUUUUGACAUUCAAUAUUUGUGUUCUUUAUUCAUAUUUUGGUUUAAAACCAAUACAUUUUUACACUAAUUUACAAAAUCUCAAUCUAAAGUUAGGAAGGAUAUGCACUACCUUAAGUUGAAUAAAUACAAAGCUAUAUACAUAUACAAGGUCAAGUUAGCAACAUUUCAAUGAAAAUUAUUGUCAUAAAACAACAAAUGAGUUUUAAUUCAACUGCCCAUUUUGGAUAAAUUUCCUAAACAAAGUUCUAAAAAUAACUUAAACGUAACUACUUUUUAAAAAUCCAGGUAUGGUGGAUAAUAAGAGUCACAAUUCUUUUUAAAAGGCUUAACAAUUGUGUUAUUUACCUCUCAACCAAAUUGCAAAUUUAAACCAUCUCAAAUUGAAAUAGAUUGCAGACGACAUAUAACAUUGUAAAGGCAUAUAAAGAAAUUGGCAAACCGAUUGAUUUUAUAUUUCGAUUCCUUCUACCCAUUUUGAAAGCGUUGGUUCGCAACUAGUAAAACAACUAUUAACAUUAAUCAGCAAGAGAUCGCACUCAAUAACAGAAAUGACCACGUAAAGAUAUCAUCACUUACCCUAUUUCAAAUAUUUUCCAGCUGAAUAUUGUCCCCCACAUGUCGUUUUUAGUUUAUUUGUAUUGUUUUUAUGGAGCCGAAGUCCAUCUAACUUCCGUUGUUUUCACUUUCGUUAUUAAAAACUUUUUUUAAAAGAAUUAUUUAUCCUUUUAGAUUGUUAAAGCGAUGUGUUAUUAUAUAUUAUCAAUAGAAUAGUAUACCGUGAUGAAUUUAACGGAGUUACGUAUCGAUCUUUCUGUCAGUCUGUAAGCGUAUUAUUUUAUGCGCAAUAAUAUAAGUAUGGUGAUUCGACAACAAUUGUAAACAUUGGUGAAAUGCUUCUUACAUAGUUAUUCUUUUGAGUGUUUAUGAGGUCUGAUCGUGCAGUUUGCAAACAUCAACGGAAAGAUUACAAUCCAAUGCAUUUGUCAUCGUCAACCGUUUGGAAUGUCAAUUUGGCGAUGAGUGAGUUUUUAGCAUGUUUCUUUCUAUUUUAUGAAUUUACAAAUGGCUGCCCCCAUGGUGAUGAAAUGACAUGUGUUCGAGUUUUGAUAUUUCUAGAUAUGUUAUCUUUUUUUACUAUUUAAGCGUAACUUGCCCUCGUCAAUGUCGAUAUUAUUCACUAGUUAUAUAAUUUUCCGCCGAAAUACGUGGAAUAAACAUGAUUCAGAUUUUUGAAAAUAAUGUAUAUUUUAGUGUUAAAAUCGCUUUGUAUUUUGAUUGAUUUUGUGGAUGGUAUGAAACGUUGAUGUACAAAAUUGGUAGCAGUUUGAAGGAAAAACAUCAUUUAAAGCAUAUAUGUAUACAUUUUCAGUGUGGCACUCUUCCUUUAGUCAAAUUUGAGUUCAAGGCUUGGGAUCCCACAUUUUUCAAAAUGAAGCCUCUACAUGAACCUUAACAACGUUAUGAGGUUAAGGCUACACACAACUUAAUUCUUAGUAAAAUGUGCACUUUAACACAAAUAUGGACUUGUAUUUUUGUUCUACCAACUGUGUUUCAAAACUUUGUCAAAAACAUUAA